Molecule: ribosomal RNA, 381 nt
Filed under: uncultured bacterium
Lineage: Bacteria
Also listed under: 1 other name
Description: bacterial SSU rRNA
Rfam family: Archaeal small subunit ribosomal RNA
Source: RNAcentral
AUACCGGCAGCCCAAGUGAUGGCCGAUCUUAUUGGGCCUAAAGCGUCCGUAGCUGGCCGCGCAAGUCCAUCGGGAAAUCCACCUGCUCAACAGGUGGGCGCCCGGUAGAAACUGCGUGGCUUGGGACCGGAAGGCGCGACGGGUACGUCCGGGGUAGGAGUGAAAUCCCGUAAUCCUGGACGGACCGCCGAUGGCGAAAGCACGUCGCGAGAACGGAUCCGACAGUGAGGGACGAAAGCCAGGGUCUCGAACCGGAUUAGAUACCCGGGUAGUCCUGGCCGUAAACAAUGUCUGCUAGGUGUGGCUCCCACUACGAGUGGGUGCUGUGCCGUAGGGAAGCCGCUAAGCAGACCGCCUGGGAAGUACGUCCGCAAGGAUGAA